Molecule: unclassified non-coding RNA, 362 nt
Filed under: Hevea brasiliensis (rubber tree)
Lineage: Eukaryota; Viridiplantae; Streptophyta; Magnoliopsida; Malpighiales; Euphorbiaceae
Source: RNAcentral
AAGGAAUUGAAAAACCAGGCAAUUACUCAUAGAUACUCAUGUUCAGAUGUGAUCAUGGCUGAACUUAAAUGGUGGAUAAUGAGUGUGAUCGCCCACGAGAACACGAAUCGCAACUCUCUGAUCUCGACCCAGGGACCGGUAAAACCUGAAUCUGAAGUCUUUUAGUCCUAGUGAAUUCGCUAAUUUGUUUUUUGUGUAGGUAUGGCGGGAAGUGAGACCGCGAAGGAAAGUCGUAAACGGAAGAGGGAGCUCACCGGAAGUGUUAGAGAUGAAGGAAGCUGUUGUCGCUGCCAAGGCACAGAGAUGGGUUCUGGUGGAAGUGCUAAGCUCUACUAGUCGAACUCAAGAACAGGCAACCUCGG